GAUUAAAUGGCUGAAUUAUAGGCGGUAAAUUGUAAAUUUAUUUAUAAGAAUAUUUCUUUUUAAUCA
RNAcentral lists this transfer RNA (66 nucleotides) under Dorylomorpha xanthopus. RNAcentral's name for it is "tRNA-Tyr". Lineage: Eukaryota; Metazoa; Arthropoda; Insecta; Diptera; Pipunculidae. The record is from RNAcentral.